GGUGGCUUAGUGGUAGAGCAUUUGCCUUGCAUGCAUGAGGACCUGGGUUUGAUUCCUCAGUACCA
Molecule: transfer RNA, 65 nt
Filed under: Dipodomys ordii (Ord's kangaroo rat)
Lineage: Eukaryota; Metazoa; Chordata; Mammalia; Rodentia; Heteromyidae
Rfam family: tRNA
About the family: Transfer RNA (tRNA) molecules are approximately 80 nucleotides in length.
Source: Rfam by way of RNAcentral